Molecule: long non-coding RNA, 11077 nt
Organism: Planococcus citri (citrus mealybug)
Lineage: Eukaryota; Metazoa; Arthropoda; Insecta; Hemiptera; Pseudococcidae
Exons: 3
Source: RefSeq, a predicted model, not a curated record
GGAGUAAAUAUGCUCUAUUUUUUCGUAGCAUUUAUAAUGAAAAAUAUCUUACAAGAUAGUAGUCAAAAGUGAAUGAAUUCACUUUCGUCUACUGUGUUGUAAUAUACUAUUACUACGUUCAGCCUCAGGUUCUAUUAAACCCUCUUUUUCUUAUCAUCGCUAAAAAUUAUUGACCAUCAUAUAAGGAAAGUCAUUAAAAAUCCUUGAAAUUUUAAUAAAAUUGACCAAAAAUAUCAUAAAAUAAAUACAUACUACUGUAAAAAUUGAAAAACGAAUGAAUUUUUUGAAAAGUUACAUAAGGAUUGGACAAACAUUGCAUGACACAUUUUUAAAACUUGUUAACUUAUUGAAAUACCUAUAUCUAAUUUGAUUGGUCAAUUUGACAUGAAACUUCAUUAAAUGAAAAAUGGUGAAAUGUGAUCAAAGUAGAUAUCUUUUUCGUAAUCUCGCAUUUCCAAAUCUUGACUUCGUUGAGAACUUUUUUUUCCAGGUGGAAAAAUAAUCACUACCAGAUAGUGAAGCCUAAGACUAUGAUGCUUUCUGUGGAAAUCGUACAAACAAUCGUACAUAUUCACAUUUUGACAUGGGUUGAAACCAUAUGUAUAAGUAACUAUACCAUAGGGUCUUACCCAUGUAACAUUACAAUAAAACUAAAGGAUACUGGCAAUACUAUGAAGCUGAAGAUCGUCUCUAGUAUAGCAUAAAAAUUAUUGACUGUAAGAAAAGUCAUUAAAAAUGCUUGAAAUUUUACUAAAAUUGACCAAAAAUAUCAUAAAAAUAAGUAUUGUAAAAAUUGAAAAAAAUGAUUAAAUUUUUGAAAAAUUAAAUAAGGAUUGAAUAACCAAUUGCAUGAAACAUUUUUAAAACUUGUUAACUACCUACUUAAAAUACAAUUUGAGUGUUUAAAUUGACAGAAACUUCAUGAAAUUAAAAAUGGUAAAAUUGAUCAAAGUAUCAUUUUAAAGAUCUGAUCAAAGGUAAAGGCACCAAUUAUGGGCCAGUUCAAAUAUGGAUCACUGCCAGAUUUUGUUAUGGUAAUUAGCGUAAUCUGUCAGGAAAAAAUGUUUUCUGAUGUAUUUUUCUCCACAAAGACGAAAUGUUCCUACAUAAAAAUUCUUUGCUUUUGGAAUAUCAUUUAGAGAAAUAUCGACGGAGAAAUACGACCCAUUCAAAAAUAAAACGUCAAAGUUUUUGAAUGUUGCGUUUCGAGACCUAACAUAGAUUUUCUCCAGCUGACCAAAUGUAUUCAGGGAAAGAAUUACAAUUACUUAGUGCAGAUUAUUUACUUCAGAAUUUCCAACAACAAACUACAAUUUUUUGUGACGUUUGAGGCAAUCAUUGGCAUUUUAGGUUGUCUUCAAUGUAGCUAGGGAACAUUUUGUAAAAAAAAAACAACAAGGUCAAUUUUCGAUGGUUGUAAGCAGAACGUUAAUUGUUGACUAAUCAAUCACUUUUAUUACGCUCAUGCAGCCUCAGGUUUUAUUAAACCUUCUUUUUCUUUAUCUUGCAUCUCCAAAUCUGGACUUUGUUUAGAAUCUUUUGUUUUCCAGGUGGAAAAAUACCUACUUCCAGAUUGUCCAUAUGAUCAUGUACGGCUAAUUCUUAACUUUCUUCCCUGGGUAUUUACAUUUUUUUUCAGAUUUCACAGAGGUUGAAAUCAUGUAUAUUGUACAUACAUACAUACGAAUAUGUAUGAUAGAUUAUUACUCAAAGUACCUAACAUAACAAUAAAAGUAAACCAACUCUGAUUAUCAGCUGAAGUCCGAAUUGUCCGAUACUGGCAAUACUGAAGCCAAAGCACGUCUAUAAAAAUUAUUGACUAUGAGGAAAGCCAUUCAAAAUCCUCAAAAUUUUACUAAAAUUGACAGAAAAUACGUAUCAUAAAAUAAAUACUUAUUGUAAAAAUUGAAAAGAAAUGAAAUUUUUGAAAAAUUAAAUAACGACUGAACAAACAUUGCAUGAUCAUUUUUAAAAACAUCAAACUUUUUGAAUUAUAAUUUGAAUAUUCAAAUUGACAGAAACUUCGUGAAAUGAAAAAUGGUAAAGACUAAAAUGUAAUCAAAGUAUCUUUUUCUUUAUCUCGUAUUUCUAAAUCUUCACUUUGUUGAGAACUUUUUUUUCAGGUGGAAAAAUAACCACCAACAGAUACUUAGUCCAGCCAAACUAUGAAAGUGUAAAUUAAAUAAUUAAUGAAUCAGAUUCUCAGCUGAAGUCUGAAUCGUCCGAUACUAGCGAUGCUGAAGUCAAAUAUCAUUUCUCGUAUAGCAUAAAAAUUAUUGACUACAGGUAUAAGGAAAGUCAUUAAAAAUCGUCGAAAUUUUACUAAAAUUAAUUGACUAAUCAACCAUUUAUACUAUGCUCAGCCUCAGGUUCUAUUAUACCUUCUUUUUCUUUAUCUUGCAUUUCCAAAUCUGGACUUUGUUGAGAACUUUUUGUUUUCUGAGUGGAAAAACAGCCACUUCCAGAUAGGUAGUCCAAAAAAUAGCUACUUCCACGUUAAACUUCAUUUAGUGGCCUAAUAUUUGACUGAUACUGGCAAUACCGAAGAUGAAGUAUGCCUCUAAAAAUAAUGACUAUAAGGAAAGUCAUUGAAAAUCCUUGAAAUUAUACAAAAAUUGACUGAAAAUAUCACAAAAUAAGUAUUGUGAAAAUUUUUAAAAAAAUGAUGAAAUUUUUGAAAAAUUAAAUAACGAUUGAACAAAAAUUGGAUGAAAUAUUUUAAAAACUGCAAUAUGGAUCAGUGCCAGACCUUGUUCAUAAUUUGCUCAAUCUGCCAGGAAAAACGUUUUUUGAUACUGUAGGUAUUUUUUUUUUUACUGAAAAUACAAAUAAUAGGAAUAUAAUUACAACUGUAAAGUCAAAACUCACUGAGAUACUUAGGUAUAAACAACUUUUUGGGAUAUGCUAAAUAUUUUUUUCGGUGUGUUCUUCAACUUGUGUUGAAAUAGAAUUAUGUACAUACAUGUAAUUUUCUAAAUGUUAUUGACGUUUAUAAAUCCAGCCCACCCUCCCCCCCCCCGAGAGAGAGAUACACGGAAAACUAAAACAAUGAAAACAACCUGAAAACAACCUGAAAUCAACGUAAAACCAAGACGAGCAGUUGCACUGAUAUUCUGCAACCAACUCACCUUGGUCGAAUCAAAAAAUUAAAGUACCAUUUUUUCUAAUUUUUCAAGCGCUUUCUUUUGAUACCAUAACAAAGUUUCAACAAUAAUAAUUGGCGGACUUAGAUUUCAGCACAAUUUUGUCAUUUUUGUCAAAUUCUUCCGGAUCUGCAAUAGCCGGCUACUGAACAAACGGCUGAACCAAUUUUGAAGAAAUUUUGGAAUUAGGAUCUACUCAUCAAGUGCUCUGAACUUUCAGAAUAAGAUUUUGAAAUUUGACCCUUCACCCCCCCCCCUCAUUUGGGUCCAAAUUGUCUGAUACUGGCAAUACUGUAGGCAAAGAUCGUCUCUAGUACCUCAUAGCAUAAAAAUUAUUGACUAAAAGGAAAGUCAUUAAAAAUGCUCGAAAUUAUACUAAAAUUGACCAAUAAUAUCAUAAAAUUAGUACCUAAAUUGUGAUAAUUGAAAAAAAGUUGAUGAAAUUGUUGAAAAAUUAAAGAACGAUUGAACAAACAUUGCAUGAAACAUUUUAACUUGUUAACUUGCUAGGUAAAAUAUAAUUUGAGUGCUUAAAUUGACGUUUUGUGAAAAAACAACGAGUUGAUCAAUUGUUGAUGAUUGUGAGUAGAACGUUGAACGUUGUUCCAUCAGUUGGAGCUUCGAAUGCUCCUACAUACAAAUUCUUUGCUUUCAGAGAUUUUUUCCAGCUGACCUAAUGUAUUCAGGGAAAGAAUUACAAUUAGUAGAAUUUCCAACAACAAACUACAAUUUUUUUGACUUUUGAGACAACUAUUGGCAUUUUAGGUUGUCUUCAAUGUAGCUAGGGAAUGCUUUGUGAAAAAACAACGAGUUGAUCAAUUUUUGAUGGUUGUGAGUGGAACGUUGAACGUUGUUGACCAAUCAAUCACUUUUAUUACGCUCAGCUUCAGGUUCUGUUAAACCUUCUUUUUCUUUAUCUUGCAUUUCCAAAUCUGGACUUUGUUUAAAACCUUUUGUUUUCCGGGUGGAAAAAUACCUACUUCCAGAUUGUCCAUGCUAACUGUGAAGUAAGAAUUAAUGCAAUGAAGUCACGAAGGGGGCGAGGGGUGUACAGUAGAAUUAAUCGAAUUAAUGAAAUAAGUACUUACGUACAUUUUUUUUCAGAUUUGACAGAGGUUGAAUCUUAUAUAUAAUGAUAGAUUCUUUUACUCAUUUAACAUAUAACAAUAAAAAGUAAACUAACCCUGAUUAUCAGCUGAAGUCCAAAUUGUCUGGUAAUAUACCGAAACCAAAGAUCGUCUCUAAGAAUUAUUAACUACCUAACAUGGACCGAAAAUAUCAUAAGAUAAGUGUGUCGAAGAAAUUGAAAAAAAAUGAAAUUUUUGAAAAAUUAAAUAAUGACUGAACAAACAUUGCAUGAAACAUUUUUAAAACUUGUCAACUUGCUGAAACAUAAUUUGAGUGUUCAAAUUUGACAGAAACUUCAUGAAAUGAAAAAUGUGAUCAAAGUAUCUUUUUCUUCAUCUCGCAUUUCCAAAUCUCGACUUUGUUGAGAACUUUGUUUUUUACGUGGAAAAAUAACUGCUACCAGAUCGUCUACUGUCCAUGUUGUGUGAAUAAAUUGUUUACAUUUUGACAUGGGUUGAAGUUGUAUGUAGGUAUAGGUACCAUCUAAACCACAGGGUCUUACCCAUGUAAAGUAUCAUGAAUUCAUGAUAAUAAAAGUAAAAUCAACUCAGAUUAUCAGCUGAAGUCUGAAUCGUAGGAUACUGGCAAUACUAUGAAGCCGAAGAUCGUCUCUAGUAUAGGUGGCAUACAAAUUAUUGACUAUAGGAAGUCAUUAAAAAUGCUCGAAAUUUUACUAAAAUUGAUCAAAAAUAUCAGAAAAUGAGUAUUGUAAAAAUUGAAAAAAAAUGAUGAAAUUUUUGAAAAAUUAAAUAACGAUUGAACAAACAAUCGCAUGAAACAUUUUUAAAACAAAAACUUGUUAGCCACCUAAAAUACAAUUUGAGUGUUUAAAUUGACAGAAACUUCAUGAAAUUAAAAAUGGUAAUAUGUGAUGAAAGUAUAAUUUAAAAGAUCUGAUCAAACGUAUGAAGGCACCAAUGAUGGGGGCCACUUCGAAUAUGGAACAGCGCCAGAUCUUGUUCUGGUAAUAAGCGUAAUCUGCCAGGAAAAAAUGUUUUCUGAUGUAUUUUUCUCCAUAAAGACAAAAUGUUCCUGCAUACAAAUUCUUUGCUUUUGGAAUUCCAUUUAGUGAAAUAUUAAUGGAGAAAUAUGACCCAUUCAAAAAUAAAAGGUCAAAGUUUUUGAAUAAUGCCAUGAAUGAGGUGUUUCGAGACCUAACAUGGAUUUUUUCCAGCUGACCUAAUGUAUUCAGGGAAAUGAAUUACAAUUAGUGCAGAAUUACAUAUUUACUUCAGAAUUUCCAACAACAAACUACAAUUUUUUUGACUUUUGAGACAACCAUUGGCAUUUUAGGUUGUCUUCAAUGUAGAGCACGUUUUGUGAAAAAACAACGAGUUGAUAAAUAUUAUUUGAUGGUUAAUAGUCGAACGUUGAACUUGUUGACUAAUCAAUCACUUUUACUAGAACCUGAGGCAUUAAACCUUCUUUUUCUUUAUCUUGCAUUUCCAAACCUGGACUUUGUUUAGAACCUUUUGUUUUCCGGGUGGAAAAAUACCUACUUCCAGAUUGUCCAUGCUAACCGUGAAGUGUACAGUAUAUUUUUUCAGACAUUACAGGGGUUGAAAUCAUAUAUUGUAUGUAUAUAUGUACAAUAGAUUCUUACUCAAGUACUUAUUAACAUAACAAUAAAAGUAAACCAACUUUGAUUAUCAGCUGAAGUUUGAAUUGUCUGAUACUUGCAAUACUGAAGCCAAAGCACGUAUCUAAAAAUUAUUGACUAUGAGGAAAGCCAUUCAAAAUCCUCGAAAUUUUAGUAAAAUUGACAGAAAAUAUCAUAAAAUAAGUAUUGUAAAAAUUGGAAAAAAAUUAUGAAGUUUUUGAAACAUUAAAUAACAACUGAACAAACAUUGCAUGAACAUUUUUUUAAAAUUUCAACUUGUUGAAUUGUAAUUUGAAUGAUCUAAUUGACAGAAACUUCGUGAAAUGAAAAAUGGUAAAAACUAAAAUGUGAUCAAAGUAUCUUUUUCUUUAUCUCGUAUUUCUAAAUCUUCACUUUGUUGAGAACUUUUUUUUUCAGGUGGAAAAAUAACCACCAACAGAUACCUAGUCCAGUCUAACCAUGAAAGUGUAAAUUGAAUAAUUAAUGAACCAGAUUCUCAACUAAAGUCUGAAUCGUCCGAUACUAGCAAUACUGAAGUCAAAGAUCAUUUCUUGUACUUCUAGCAUAAAAAUUAUUGACUAUAAGGAAAGUCAUUAAAAAUCGUCAAAAUUUUACUAAAAUUGGUUGACUAAUCAACCAUUUAUACUAUGCUCAGCCUCAGGUUCUAUUAAACCUUCUUUUUCUAUAUCUUAUUGCAUUUCCAAAUCUGGACUUUGUUGAGAACUUUUUGUUUUCUGAGUGGAAAAAUAGCCACUUCCACAUAUACGGGCAAAACGAACAAUUUUUUUUUGAUCUUUAAUUCUGGUUUUCCCACAACAACUUUUUUUCAAUUUUUUUCAAAACACCCGGGCAAAAGGAAUAAUUACCCCGGGCAAGAGGAAAACCAAUGAAAUUUGGUCAAAAAGUGUGAGGAUAAACUCAAUUUAUUGUGAAGGAGAUAACAUUGGUGAUAAACAAAGGUCAUUAGUGUUAAAACCAAUUCUUAAAAAAAUUUUUGAGUGUGUUGUGGGUAAGUUUUGGUGGAUAUUGCAUAGUAAUCAUACAUCGCAUAAUUCAGAAAAAAACGAGUUGCAUGUGAUACGAUUGUCAUUGCCUCUGGAUCUGUUAAGGGAACUUUUGAGUAUUCGCUAGCUUUCUAAAUUAAUUUUGGUAGUAACACAUCAUCAAAAUCCUAUUUUUUUUGAAAUUUUAAUUUUUUCCAUUACAAAAGCCUAUCUAAUUAUUCCUUUUGCCCUGUUCCUCUCACCCGAAACCACAUGACUUGAAUUUUUUUUCAAAAUUACGUCCAUAAGAGUCAAACUGAUAGAAAUGGUGUGAGUGGAUAAAAUUUACUUCAAUUUGAGAUCUUACUUACGUUUGUAGGUACUCUGGUAUUGAAAUCAUUUGAAAAAUUAAAAACCUUUUUAUGAAAUUCAACUACUCGAAAUCACAAAGUGGGUUCUCAGAAAAAAACAAACCUAGUUAUUGCAAAUUUUUUAGUUGCAAAAUAUUCCGCAAUCAAAACGCUAUCAAAUGACAGUUUAACCAACUUCCUACCUGUAUUAGAAAAAAUGUAAUUCAAGGUAUUCCUCUUGCCCGGGCUUCCCCCAGUCCAAAAAAUAGCUACUUAGAAACUUAUCUAUCAAUUCCGUAGGUACUUGUCUGAUACAGGCAAUACCGAAGCCAUAGUACGACUCUAAAAAUUAUCGACUAUAAGAAAAUUCAUUAAAAAUCCUCGAAGUUUUACUAAAAUUAUCCGUAAAUAUCAUAAAAUAAGUAUUGUGAAAAUUGAAAAAAAAGAUGAAAUUUUUGAAAAAUUAAAUAACGAUUGAACAAACAUUGCAUAAAACAUUUUUAAACUUGUUAACUUGUUGAAAUAUAAUUUGAAUAUUUAAAUUGACAGAAACUUCAUGAAUAAAUGAUGAUAAUGAUGAAAAAUGGUAAAAUGCGAUCAAAGUACCUACAUAAUAUAAUUAAUUUAAAAGGUCUGUAUAAGAGUAAAGGCACCAAUUAUGGACCAGUCUGCAAUAUGGAUCAGCACCAGACCUUGUUGGUAAUUAGCUCAACCUGUUAGAAAAAAAGGUUUUGUGAUACUGUAUAGGUAGAUAUUUUUCACUGAAAAGACAAAAAUAUGACAAAAAUUACAACUAUGAAGUCAAAACUCACUGAGAAAUCUAAGUACUUACAUACAAAAAAAAAAAACUUUUUGGAUAUGCUGCACACUUUUCUACUUGUAUUCUUCAACUUGUGUUGAAAUAAUAUGAUUAUGAUGUACUUAUCAUGUAAUUUUAUAAAUGUUACUGACGUUUAUAUAAAUUAUAAUAUUGAAAAAGUAGGUAAUUUUUGCUAAUGUAAUCAGUUUUUGUUAAAAGUUAAGGUACCUAUUGGUAGUUACAGAUUAUUAAAAAAAAUAUCAUUUAUUUCUGUUCCUAACACAAAAAAGUUAUUUACAAGUUUUUUGAUUUUUUAAAAACUUAGAUGUACCGUAUGUAUAGGCUUAAUUCUAUUUAAUCCACAAUAUAAGUUAUUGGUUCUAAUAAAGCAUUUGCAAGUUGAAUAGGAUGAUCUUGUAAAUGAUUUUGAUGUCUUCUAGCAAAUUUAGAUGUUUCUUGAGUACUUAUAAUUGUUGAAAUGUAGUGCAAAGUUUUUUUGUUUUUUUUUAAAUAGAGUGCACUAAUAUGAACCACCAGUGAUACAUACAUAUUAAACUUUUUACUCAUUUUCAUCAUUUCUUACAGCUACCAAAAAAAGGAAAUGAUGUUUUAAAACAUGAAAAUAUGAUUAUUUUGAAAUUUUAUUGGUGGUCCAUAUUAGGGGUCCAAAAUUUUGAACCACCAUUUUGACACUACUUGUCAUUCAACAAUUGAAAAAAAUCAAAAUUAACGUACACUGCUUAGAAUAUUUUUUUGUUCAUUUCUACAAAUAAAAUAAGUAAUGAUAUUUUUAAAAACAUAAAAAUAGGUAUGUUUAUUUUGAAAUUUUAUAAGUGGUCCAUAUUAGGCAUCAAAUGGAAAACAAAUGGAAAAUGUAUUCUAUUGAUAGAAAAACAAAAACUAUGAAACUUUUCUGGAAGAUUUGUUAUUUUAGAUGUACAUAUUAUCCACGUAAUAGGCCAUUCCACCUCAAUUCGACCAACGUUUUUGAGUCACGUCCCUCAAUUUCACUCAUGUUUUUUUUACAAUGUCUACCCACCCAUAAGUAAGAAACUUGCAACCAGUUCGGUCUCUGCAGGCCUCUCAGGACGGGGGUACGGGUGCUUCAAUUAUUUUCACAUUAUAUAUAUAAUGUGAAAAUAAUAGAAGCACCCGCACCCACACCCUGAGGGGGCUGCAGGGACCGAACUGAUUGCAAGUUUCUUUACAUAUGGGUGCAGACACUAAAAAAAAUUGAGUGAAAUCGAAAAACAUGACUUUCAAAAUCACAUUUUUUUGGUCGAAUUGACAUGGAAUGAUGGAUAAUUUAUUAAUGUAUCAAUUUUAUUAUAAUGUUUCAAUCAAUACCUAAACUAAUCAACUUGUUAACAUCAAAACCGCUGAUUAAAUUUAGUAUCAUUGGUCUUUUUGAAAUAAUUUAAGAUGUUAACUUAGACGAGUAAGAUAAAAUUAAAUAGAUACUCACAAUACCAGUAACCAAUUCAACAUUUGUAAAAUUUUGAUUAUAAAAUUAUCAUAAGAAAAUAAUCAAGAAUUUUCAAUCAUAAUGGCAAUUUCUUAACAUAAGUAGACUACCCAUUACCAUCAUAUUUUGAACAUUAACUCACACAACAUUCAAGAUGAAAGGACUCACCAUCAUUUUCUUAUUUUUCAAUGGAAUUGCAUCAGUUUUUCAACUUUCACUUUCUCAAACAGACUUUACUCCUGGUGUGAAUGCUGAACAUGAAGCGUUGCUUCGUUUAGGAUACAAAGAUAUCUCUGCAGUAGACUGGAAAGUUGCUUUUGCACGUCUUGCAGAAAGAUAUAUGAAGUUACAAGGAGAUUUUGAAAAGGUGAAAGAUGAUCUUAAGAAAGAAUGUCUCAUGGAAUCAAUAACAUGGAAAAUUGAAUUCUGGGAGGCUAUGCUGGCCCCAGAGUAUAAGUUUUUUGGAAGACAGAAUAUUUUGCUAUAUGCGAUGUUAUCAAAUGAUAUCAUGGCCUACAUGUAUGUCCACAAAGAACGAUGGGUAUGGAUCAUGAAGAACAGUUCAGAUACCAUAGUAAAGAAACUGAAUGAAUUUAUAAAGAAUAAUUUGAAUGGCGAUAUCGAUUCGUUUUGCUUAAGAAUUGCUGGUUUUUUUAAGUAUGCUCCAUCUCGAUCAGAACAUACCCCUCCGUUGCACGAAUACAAUGUAGAAGAAGUAGACGAAAUCAUGCGCAAUAAAUUUAAUAUUUAUGAUAAUAUCACAUUAGGAAUUGUUCAUUUUUUUAUGAAAACAUAAGUGAAUAAAUUUCGGCAAAAACAUUUACUUACUACAAUUUUUAAAAAAUUAAUAUAGGUACACUGGUACACAUAUUCUGUUAGCUUUAAACGUUCGAGCAGUAAGUCAGUAUUUAUAUUUUUUUCAUUUAAAAUUUUUUCAAUUAAAUUAAUGAUCAAAAAAUUAAGAAUAAGAAAGAAAAAUGGUCAAAACAGGAUAACAAUUUUCAAAAAUUUUAAAAAGUGUUUCAAAAAAGCUUUAAAAUUAGAUAGAUAGCAUAAAAAUUAUUGACUAGGUAUAUGGUAAGCUAUUAAAAAAUCAUGUAAAUUGUAGUAAAAUUGCACAUACAAAAAUAUAAUAAAAUAAGUACUUGUUGUAAAAAUAAUUGAAAAAAAGGAUGGAAUUUCUAAAAAAUUAAAUAUCGAUUGAACAAACAUUUCAUGAAACAUUUUUACAACUUGUUAAUUUGUUGGAAUACUCGUAUGAAAUUGGAGUGUUGCAAACUGACCGAAAUUUCAUAAAACGAAAAAUAGUAGUCAUUUUGAAGAAAAAAAUUCAGAAUACAUAUCAUUUAAAAUAUCUGAUUACCUAUAUGAAUUCUUGGGAUCCAGAAAGGUAUACUUCGUGUAAUUUCCUACACCCUCUUGGCUGCUCUAAAAAAUCUCUAAAAUUGGGUGUAAAUAUUGCAUUGAAAUGUUCAGAAAUUCGUGUCAUAAUUUUUAAAAGAGCCUUUCAGGGUAAGAUAGUGAAAUUCGCACUUUCUCCGAUUUGGUUGAAACUCACCCAAAAUGUUAGUUUGGAUGUAAAACCAUCCCAAAAAUUAUUUUGAGCCAA